GAGUUUGAUCGUGGCUCAGAACGAACGUUGGCGGCGUGCUUAACACAUGCAAGUCGAACGAGAACGGUUUCUUCGGAGACCUAGUAAAGUGGCGCACGGGUGAGUAACACGUAGAUAACCUGUCCAGGUGUUCGGGAUAGCCCUUCGAAAGGGGGAUUAAUACCGGAUACGUUAGUCUGUUAUAAGGCAGAUUAAGAAAGGUGGCCUCUAUUUAUAAGCUAUCGCAUUUGGAGGGGUCUGCGUACCAUUAGUUUGUUGGUGGGGUAAAGGCCUACCAAGACUUCGAUGGUUAGCGGGUCUGAGAGGAUGAUCCGUCACACUGGCACUGAAACACGGGCCAGACUCCUACGGGAGGCAGCAGUGAGGAAUAUUGCGCAAUGGGGGAAACCCUGACGCAGCGACGCCGCGUGGGUGAGGAAGGCUUUCGGGUCGUAAAGCCCUGUCAGAAGGGAGAAAUGUGUAUAGGUUAAUAUCUUAUACAUUUGUACGGUACCGUU
RNAcentral lists this ribosomal RNA (497 nucleotides) under uncultured microorganism. RNAcentral describes it as "bacterial SSU rRNA". It matches the Rfam family "Bacterial small subunit ribosomal RNA", at positions 9 to 482 of the family's 1533-position model. The record is from RNAcentral.